UACAGAGGUGGCAAGCGUUGUUCGGAUUUACUGGGCGUAAAGGGUGCGUAGGCGGUCCUGCGUGUCGGGUGUGAAAUCCCACGGAUCAUCCGUGGAACUGCAUUCGAAACUGUAGGGCUGGAGUGCAGGAGAGGAAGGCGGAAUUCUUGGUGUAGCGGUGAAAUGCGUUGAUAUCAAGAGGAACGCCGGAGGCGAAGGCGGCCUUCUGGACUGCAACUGACGCUGAGGCACGAAAGCUAGGGGAGCAAACAGG
RNAcentral lists this ribosomal RNA (253 nucleotides) under uncultured bacterium. RNAcentral describes it as "partial 16S ribosomal RNA". It matches the Rfam family "Bacterial small subunit ribosomal RNA", at positions 524 to 776 of the family's 1533-position model. The record is from RNAcentral.